This 895-nucleotide ribosomal RNA is filed under the name uncultured bacterium. RNAcentral's name for it is "bacterial SSU rRNA". It matches the Rfam family "Bacterial small subunit ribosomal RNA", at positions 33 to 912 of the family's 1533-position model. The record is from RNAcentral.
ACGCUGGCGGCGUGCCUAAUACAUGCAAGUAGAACGCUGAAGGAGGAGCUUGCUUCUCCGGAUGAGUUGCGAACGGGUGAGUAACGCGUAGGUAACCUGCCUGGUAGCGGGGGAUAACUAUUGGAAACGAUAGCUAAUACCGCAUAACAGUAGAUGUUGCAUGACAUUUGCUUAAAAGGUGCAAUUGCAUCACUACCAGAUGGACCUGCGUUGUAUUAGCUAGUUGGUGGGGUAACGGCUCACCAAGGCGACGAUACAUAGCCGACCUGAGAGGGUGAUCGGCCACACUGGGACUGAGACACGGCCCAGACUCCUACGGGAGGCAGCAGUAGGGAAUCUUCGGCAAUGGACGGAAGUCUGACCGAGCAACGCCGCGUGAGUGAAGAAGGUUUUCGGAUCGUAAAGCUCUGUUGUAAGAGAAGAACGAGUGUGAGAGUGGAAAGUUCACACUGUGACGGUAUCUUACCAGAAAGGGACGGCUAACUACGUGCCAGCAGCCGCGGUAAUACGUAGGUCCCGAGCGUUGUCCGGAUUUAUUGGGCGUAAAGCGAGCGCAGGCGGUUAGAUAAGUCUGAAGUUAAAGGCUGUGGCUUAACCAUAGUACGCUUUGGAAACUGUUUAACUUGAGUGCAAGAGGGGAGAGUGGAAUUCCAUGUGUAGCGGUGAAAUGCGUAGAUAUAUGGAGGAACACCGGUGGCGAAAGCGGCUCUCUGGCUUGUAACUGACGCUGAGGCUCGAAAGCGCGGGGAGCAAACAGGAUUAGAUACCCUGGUAGUCCACGCCGUAAACGAUGAGUGCUAGGUGUUAGACCCUUUCCGGGGUUUAGUGCCGCAGCUAACGCAUUAAGCACUCCGCCUGGGGAGUACGACCGCAAGGUUGAAACUCAAAGGAAUUG